GACGAACGCUGGCGGCGUGCUUAACACAUGCAAGUCGAACGGAAAGGCCUCUUUCGGGGGGUACUCGAGUGGCGAACGGGUGAAUAACACGUGAGUAACCUGCCCUUGACUUUGGGAUAACUUCAGGAAACUGGGGCUAAAACCGGAUAGGAGCUCCUGCUGCAUGGUGGGGGUUGGAAAGUUUCGGCGGUUGGGGAUGGACUCGCGGCUUAUCAGCUUGUUGGUGGGGUAGUGGCUUACCAAGGCUUUGACGGGUAGCCGGCCUGAGAGGGUGACCGGCCACAUUGGGACUGAGAUACGGCCCAGACUCCUACGGGAGGCAGCAGUGGGGAAUAUUGCACAAUGGGUGGAAGCCUGAUGCAGCAACGCCGUGUGCGGGAUGACGGCCUUCGGGUUGUAAACCGCUUUCGCUCAUGACGAAGCUUUGUGUGACGGUAGUGGGUAAAGAAGCACCGGCUAACUACGUG
This 467-nucleotide ribosomal RNA is filed under the name uncultured bacterium. Its description in RNAcentral is "partial 16S ribosomal RNA". It matches the Rfam family "Bacterial small subunit ribosomal RNA", at positions 28 to 507 of the family's 1533-position model. The record is from RNAcentral.